RNAcentral lists this long non-coding RNA (4114 nucleotides) under Apis mellifera (honey bee). Its description in RNAcentral is "uncharacterized LOC102654587". The record is from RNAcentral. Lineage: Eukaryota; Metazoa; Arthropoda; Insecta; Hymenoptera; Apidae.
AUUCGUAGAUAAAGAAAUUCUCUCUCUCUCUUUCAAAAAAAAAAAAGUUUUUAUUUUUUAACGGUAUAGUAUACAAGCAGCAGAAUGCCAAAUCAUCUUUUUUGAUGAAGGAAGUUGAGAUUACGUAUCGUGAAUCGACGAUUUUCUAAUAUUGACUUUUGCAAUGAAUUAUAAAAUUACAAAUUUGAUUCGAAAAAUACAACCAUGAUAAUGUAUAUCAUUCGGAAGUGAUAACAGCGUGGUGAACACGAUAAGAGUGAAAACGUAGUUAGAAAAGUAAAUACAUUUUUUAAAAAAAACCUUUUGCAAUUAUAUAUACAUUUAUAUAUAUAUAUAUAUGUUUAUCAUUCGCUAAUCCUAUUAAUGCAGUUGAAAUACAAUAAAUAAAUAGGUUGGUAUAUGAUAGAUACCAACCUCUUAAAAUCAAAACUCAAGAAUUUGAAUUUAACUUGAAUGGUUACGAAUAAAAAUUUUUUUUUUUUUUUUUUUUUUAAUAGAACUAUGAUUCAUUCACAUAUGCCAACGGUAAUUUUCCUUUUGCCAAUUAUAAAUUACAGAUUAGUCAUAGAUAAUUGCAAUAUCGUAUUGUUUUGUAAUUGUCACAUAACUUUUCUUUUUUUUUUCAUCGAUCGAAGGUCAUAUUCGAUCUUCUCGUAAAAAUGGCUUAUUAAUCUAAUUUAUAAGAAUGCGAAACAUGAAUGCGAACUCGUAACAUGGCAAUUAUCCGAUAGAAGGAAUAUUUAUAAGGAAUGGAAUAAACGCGUGCGAUAUACAUGCAUCUAAAUACAUCACGUACUGCUCGAUAGAAAAUACACUAUUGAAUCCAUUCCUAAUGUAAGCGAUGACGUAUUGCCGUAUCGUUCAUAAUAUCUAGAAUGACAUACUUUUAUGAACGUGAAAUUAUAUUUUUGCCAUUUUAGAAAUUAUUUAACAAAAUUUAUCUUACAAACGCAAAAUCCAAUGAUAAAGGAUAUUUAACGAAAGAGAAAAGGAUAAUUGUAUUUUUUUUUUUUUUUCAAUAUUCGUCGAAUAAAAUUUUCUUCGUGAAAAUUUUUAUAUACCUUCAGCUGUAAGGCAAUUACAAAAAAUUGCGAAAGAUAUUUAUCACUGUGACGAAAUCUGCAUUGUUUCGUCGAAAAAAUAUGAAAUAAUCAUCGAGUUUUUAAUAAUAAAAUAUUCGUAAUAUUGUAUUCAUGUAUAAUAAAAUUUGAGUUUAAAGAAACCUAACCUAAGAUUCAUAAAAAGAAACGAUUAAACGAAAAUCAACCACUCGUGCAUUUUAUCAUCAUAUUUACGAGAGGCUUAAACUAAAGCAAUAAUUGAAAAGUUUCAAUUACUUAUUAACCUCACAAAGUAUCGUUUCAUUAAAGUGUAAUGAUACUGUAUUCGCUUUUAUGUAAAUAAAAUAUUAUUUUUUAAUCGAGAAUAAGAUAAAACUUACUCGAUUCCUUGAUUUUCCAUCGUAUGAAAAAAAAAAAAAAAUUAUUAUAUCAAAGAAAAGAUCAAAAUAGGGACAAAAAUUUCACUAGGAAAGUAAAGUUAUUACGUUACGUUAAUACCAAAGAUCGAAAAACUUUUAUAUUCGCAAAAAAGAAUCGUUAAACAAAGGUGCAAUGUCUUUUAUUACCAGAAUACGUUUCGUGAUCUAACCAUGAAAAAUCUCAAUUGUUUCCAACAAUUCGCAGUUCAUUCGACGAACGACAACAAUAUGCAAUUUUGAGGUUAGCAACGUUAAUCGAGCAAUGCCGACGAGUAUAUAGGUUAACGCUAUGUUUAACCAACGCGAUGAUCAAACAAAUAAUUCCGUGAAAAGCGGAUAACAAAGAGCGGAAAAAAACUAGAGUGACACGUAAGAUGAUGAAAGAUUAAAACGAAUUCAAUUUGACUGUUGAACGGAACGCGAAAUGUGACGAUCGCGUUUCUCGUAUUAUAGUACGUGCACAGUGUCACGCGCAUUACCCAUCAGAGGUGACAUUCAUCUUUCUUUCGUAAAAAUACCGGCUAAUUAACCACUAUGCCUAUCCGACCUUGCAAUUAAUCGUACUGUCGCGCAUGGAUACGUGUUUGCUUCCGGCGUAAUCCCUGAUAUACUGCCAAUAGGCUUCUUAAUUACAACCAACCGUUCCGAAUUACACUUUUCGCCAGAGAUAUAGGUUAAACGAAUAUAAUGAAUAUCCUUUUGAAAUAAGCAUCGUUAAAAUAACGUGCACAUUUCGUAAUUACGAAUUACGAUUAUCAUUAGAUUAGACGAAUAUAAUGAAUAUCCUUUUGAAAUAUACAUCGUUAAAAUAACGUGCUCGUGCACAUUUCGUAAUUAGAAAAUUCAGAUCGAACACUGAGUAAAUUAAAUAGAUGGAAAAAAAAAUAUUAUUUUAAUAUUCAGAACGAUUUAUUAAAUUGUUGGAAACAUUUGAAUCCAUAAAUACGAGUUCGAACGGAAUAAUUGAAUGUAGUUAAAACUAGUUAACAAGUUUGUCUCAUAUUUUAUGAUAAGAAGUUUAUUACUUAUAUUAGUUAUAUAUUGUAAGGAAAGUUUUAAUGUUCGAAAGAUGAACGAAUUUAAAUUUCAGAUACAUCGUUCACAUGUAAACUCGGUUAUAUAUCUAUGGACAAAUAUAUUUACUGAAAAUAACUGGUCUCUAUUUGCACAGCUUGAAUAAAUAAAGCCGCAGAAUCUUCGAUGCAAUAUAUCUUUUAAUAUGCUUUAAAUAUCACAAUUGUUUCAUUAACGCAUAAAAUAACGAUAUUGUUAUUUAAAAUAAUUAAAUUAAUUUUAAAUACCUUUAAAAAAAUUAUUACUAUUAUUAAAAUAAGAAAGAACGUGUUGAUAAUUUGCAUUACAGUUUACAAAUUAAUUAAUUUUAGAAAUUGUAAAUAAAUUACUGAUCAAAUAUUCAUAAAUAUAUAUGUCAUUAUUAUAAGUAUAUAGCACAAUGUACAAAAUUGCCAAUAUUGAUGAACAAAGAAUAACAAUCACUUGAACUUUAUACAAAAGAAUAUUAAGUUUCUGAAAUACAGACGACGUACACCUCGCUUAAUCCAAUUCAAACGAUAACACAAUCAUCGGAUUAGAUACACAUGACUUCAGGAUCAUGAGAAUCCUUAUAGAAGACAUUUCAUUGUUUUGGCCUAACAAAUCCAACACAUGGAUAUAUACUUUGAAUUUAAAAUCAAGACAAUAAAUAUCAAAUAACACAAAUGUAAUUAAAUACGUUAAAUGUAUUGAUUAAAUUUUAUGAUAAAUACCUUAUUCUAAACUUAUUAGGUUAAGACUGAAUCGUGUUUAGGUUAGGUACGCAUUAUUUAUUUUGAUUCGAUUAUCUCAUGAUGGCUAGCUAAUUAAACGGAUUUACUUAGUUUGGAUUGGCUUGAAGUUUUCAAAGAUACUUAAAAGAUACGUUUGACAUGCAGAUUAAUAAAGGAUUACGUUUCAACAAAGCCAAUUAAAUCUAAAUUAAAAUCAUAAUUUAUAAAUGAAGUUGAGUUAAAGAAAAUAAUAAAUCUAAUCUAACCUAAUCAAAAUCUUAUACAAACCUAAAUCCCUUCCUAAAUGUAAUUCUAACUAAUUCAAGCUAGACCUAACCUAUCCAUCUAAAUCUGAAUCUAUCUCAAAUUACAAAUUGAAACAUUUAUAAAUAACACACAGGAUAAAAAAUAUUUUUAUAUAUAUUUCAAAAAUUGAAAAAUGAUUGAUCUUGAAAAUCAGAAUCAAUGAGAUAUCUAAGUAAUUAUCAAAUAUAAUUUAUAAUUAAUAAUAACAUUUUGUAAACUGACAAAUUCUAGUUUCUUUUUUUUUUCCCCAUUGAUUUCACACAAAUCAAACGUGUUAAACUUGUGGAAAUGGAUAUACGUGUAUCAAAGAUAUCAUAAAUAUUUAAUAAAAAGAACGAUGACGUAAGUAACUAAUCUAAGUUGUAGUGUUUACAUUAGGAACGAAGUCAAAUCCGAUCUAUCUAGGAAAAAUCACAUUCUUCGAGAAUCGAAAUAAAUCACAUGUAUAACAAUCUUAUGCAUAUUUAUAAACAAUAAAGUGGAUCACAAAACUGAGCAAAAUGUAAACGAUCCAAAUAUCUGUUAUCUUAAUUUAAAUAGUAUAAAGAAAUAAUUCAAUGAU